Carassius carassius (crucian carp) is the source of this 333-nucleotide long non-coding RNA. RefSeq lists it as uncharacterized. The transcript is spliced from 3 exons. NCBI's taxonomy places the organism in Eukaryota, Metazoa, Chordata, Actinopteri, Cypriniformes, Cyprinidae. The record is from RefSeq and is a predicted model, not a curated record.
ACAAGGUCAAAGGAACAAGAAAACCACAGACAUAUAACACUGUGUUUUCCUGGUGAUUUAUACACACUUGACAUCAAGUAAAGCAUAAAAGCAGAGCUCUUUCUGGAACACCACAAAAUCUUUCUUGAGAUUCCGAAGGCAGUGAUCUGAAAACCAAGUUCAUGGCAAUGCUGAGAAGUCUGCUGCUUCUGUUCAUCGUGUUCUCCACGGGAAAUGCAGCUGGUAAACCAGAUAUAGGUAUACUAUGCCAGGAUGGAUGGUCAAAUUUUAGAGCCCGAUGCUACAAAUUCUUCUCUCAGUUGGCUACCUGGAGUGAAGCAGCGGUAAAGUUUU